RNAcentral lists this transfer RNA (86 nucleotides) under uncultured Sutterella sp. It matches the Rfam family "tRNA". From Rfam's summary of the family: Transfer RNA (tRNA) molecules are approximately 80 nucleotides in length. Their secondary structure includes four short double-helical elements and three loops (D, anti-codon, and T loops). The record is from RNAcentral. Lineage: Bacteria; Pseudomonadati; Pseudomonadota; Betaproteobacteria; Burkholderiales; Sutterellaceae.
GAAGGAUGGCAGAGUGGUCGAAUGCGCCGGACUCGAAAUCCGGUAUACGGUCAUACCGUAUCGUGGGUUCAAAUCCCACUCCUUCC